CGGCGGACGGGUGAGUAACACGUGGGUAACCUACCUAUAAGACUGGGAUAACUUCGGGAAACCGGAGCUAAUACCGGAUAAUAUAUUGAACCGCAUGGUUCAAUAGUGAAAGACGGUUUUGCUGUCACUUAUAGAUGGAUCCGCGCCGCAUUAGCUAGUUGGUAAGGUAACGGCUUACCAAGCAACGAUGCGUAGCCGACCUGAGAGGGUGAUCGGCCACACUGGAACUGAGACACGGUCCAG
RNAcentral lists this ribosomal RNA (243 nucleotides) under uncultured Staphylococcus sp. RNAcentral describes it as "partial 16S ribosomal RNA". It matches the Rfam family "Bacterial small subunit ribosomal RNA", at positions 96 to 334 of the family's 1533-position model. Lineage: Bacteria; Bacillati; Bacillota; Bacilli; Caryophanales; Staphylococcaceae. The record is from RNAcentral.